Non-coding RNA from Sus scrofa (pig), 2619 nucleotides. The record is from RefSeq and is a predicted model, not a curated record. Lineage: Eukaryota; Metazoa; Chordata; Mammalia; Artiodactyla; Suidae.
GUUUUUUGGGUCGUCGUCAUCUUCUCUCUUGCCCCCUUGUCAUUACCCAGCUCUGGGAGGCGCGCGCUUGGACUCGCCCGUUUUCCUUCCUGGGGGCCGUUUCGUUCCUUUUGUUUCCUAAACAUCCUCACCUCCCCGGCACCAUCCCCCCCCCCAAGUAUUUGCACAAUAUUUGUGCGGGGCGUGGGGGGCGGGUUUUUUAGAAAGCGUUUCCGCUCUCGGACAAGCACAGGGGUCCGCUGCUGCCUGGGCCCGGGGUGCCGGUGGGCCGGCCGCUCCCUCGGCCGGGGCGCAGCCAUGGCGCGGAUGAACCGGCCGGCGCCCGUGGAGGUGGAGUACAAGAACAUGCGCUUCCUCAUCACGCACAACCCCACCAACGCCACCCUCAGCACCUUCAUUGAGGAUCUGAAGAAAUACGGGGCCACCACGGUGGUGCGUGUCUGCGAGGUGACCUACGACAAGGCCCCGCUGGAGAAGGACGGCAUCACUGUCGUGGUGAGGCUGCGGCCGUGGUGGCCUCGCUGCUGCCACAGGGGUGGGCGGCUGGGGGCCCUCGCUGCGAGGCAGGCACGUGGCCUCGCUACGUGCCACCUGCCACCCUCUCUGUGUUUGGGCACAGGCCCCAUCUUGAGUGUCUGGGCUUUCCCAGGGGCCUCAUCUCUGUCUCACUGCCUGGCAUCUGGGGCCCCGUUGCCAGGCAGCAGGUGCCUCCGGGAGGGUGCCACCUGGCAGGGCCCUGGAGAGGCUCUGCCCAGGCCAUGGGGAGGGACCCUUGGGGCUGUUUCCUUGGUCCCCGGUUGUGGGGACUGGCAUGCAGGUGGCAGGUGGGACAGCUCUGCUGCCACAUGUCUUGGAUGGGCCACAGCAGCCAGAGCCCGGGCGCCAGCCCUGUGGGAUGGACUCCGGCAGGCGACAGUCGUGAAGGUGGUGGAAGGGGCCAGAGCCUCGGGGUCAGACAGGCCUGCCUGAAUCCUGCCUCUGCCCCUUGCCCGUGGUGUGGCCCCAGGCACCUCCCCUGCAGAGCCUGAGCGCCUGAGAGGCGCCCCAGUGAACUCAUGUGAAGCAGGCGCGCAGGGAGCCGGGGCCUUUCCCGCCCCUCCCACCGCAGCAGGAAGGGGUCGGCUGGACAUACAGCCACCAGGCAGACCAGGCUCCUCCAGGGGUUGCGAAUCCGGAGGCUGGGGGCGGGUUUAGCCGACCCGGGGCCUGACCCUGGUGGCCCCCGCGGAUUCCCCUGGCGCCGAGGGCGCCUCUUCCAGGCAGCCCCUCUGGCCUGCCUGCAUCUGCCUCAUGGCACUGAAGUAGCUCGUCCUCCUGGGGCCCGGCGGGCUCUGAGCAGCUGAGCUUGGGGCUGGGGACACAGGCCACGUUCAACUGCGUUCAUGGACCAGACCCCUUGGGCCUGCUGACCCAGAACCUCUCAGGCUGGCUGAGGGUCAGCCUUUGACCCCAGAGGCACUGCGGCCUGACGGGAGGGCCUGGGGGCUCCCGGGCUCGCAGAAGAGCAGAGCCGGGUGUUCUGGGAAGGCUUCCUGGAGGCGAGAAUGAGGAGGAGCCUGGCAGUGGGAGCUCUCCGGGGCCUGGGCUCCUGACAUCCUCCAAGCUUCUCCGAGUGCUGGUGGGCGGGCCGGCCUGGGCCCCGCUCCUCGCCCCGCCUUUGGGCUGGGGGUCCUCACAGGCGGCCCCCUUCUGCAGGACUGGCCGUUUGACGAUGGGGCGCCCCCGCCAGGGAAGGUGGUGGAGGACUGGCUGAGCCUGCUGAAGACCAAGUUCUGUGACGACCCGGGCAGCUGCGUGGCCGUGCACUGCGUGGCCGGCCUGGGACGGGCUCCGGUCCUCGUGGCGCUGGCCCUCAUCGAGAGCGGGAUGAAGUACGAGGACGCCAUCCAGUUCAUCCGACAGAAGCGGCGUGGAGCCAUUAACAGCAAACAGCUCACCUACCUGGAAAAGUACCGGCCUAAGCAGAGACUGCGGUUCAAGGACCCGCACGCACACAAGACCAAGUGCUGCGUCAUGUAGCUCAGGACCUCAGCGCCUGGCCGCCGGGUCCGAGGGCUCCCUGGCCGCGGUGCCUCCGGCUCGCCUUCUCUGCCGACACCUCAGCACGCCCGCCACCAGUGGUCCAGCUUCCGCCCCGCCGGCUCCUUCGUCUGACCCCUGCGUCCCUGUCCUCGCGUCUUGGUGCGUGUGCGUGCGUGUGCGUGUGCGUGUGUGUGUGUGUCUGCCACCGUCUGGUCCGUCCUUCCCUUUGUUUCCAUGCCCUACACCUGUCUCUCCCUCUGUGCCCUGUGUCUGUCCCUGGGCCCUGUGUGUGACUCUCUGUCCCUGUGCCUUGUGUCUCUCUCUGGGUCCUGUGACUCUGUCCCUCUGAGGCUUUAUUGCCCCUCAGUCCCCCCACUCCCUGUGUCCUUGGCUCUCCUGCCCAUGAAUGACCCCCGCCCCCUGGCAGCUCUCUUCUCUGGCCUGUUUGUUUGGGGGCAGACGGUGUAUUUUUUAACCACUGGGCCCGGCCCCUCCUCUGCAGCCCCUCACCCUGACCUGUUCUUGGCACCUUAAGUUAUUGGGUCUGGGGCGGUCAGGUGUUCCGGACACUCGAAGGCAAUAAAACCGGACCCUGAG